AACACAAUGUCUACCCACUCAAAA
Molecule: small nuclear RNA, 24 nt
Filed under: Arabidopsis thaliana (thale cress)
Lineage: Eukaryota; Viridiplantae; Streptophyta; Magnoliopsida; Brassicales; Brassicaceae
Description: snRNA_07506
Source: RNAcentral